This is an RNA transcript of Strongylocentrotus purpuratus (purple sea urchin), 1824 nucleotides long. It is a transcript of the gene named alanine--tRNA ligase, cytoplasmic-like, with no coding region annotated. The record is from RefSeq and is a predicted model, not a curated record. The transcript is spliced from 13 exons. Lineage: Eukaryota; Metazoa; Echinodermata; Echinoidea; Camarodonta; Strongylocentrotidae.
CCGUAAUAUUCCAAAUUGUAGAAGAAUCUGAGUACAAAUCAAAUUUUGAUUUGUAUGAUGAAAUUGCAUUUACAGAUGUUGCGUUUUUUUCCCCUUUCAAUUUUUCAGAGCGUAUCAAGCACUCAACUUCAAGCAUGAAAAUCUGUCGCUGAUUCAACCCCGAUUCGUGGCGCCCCUGCCUCCUCUUCAACCAGCGGUACUGAAGAUCAUCUGGAGUAUUAUGUUCAUGAGUGUGGAGACAUCUUAAACCAUCAGCAUGAAGCUACCGGCAGACUCAACCGACGCUAAACACAUUAUGGAGCAUGUCUUUGCACAGGUGUCGGAAUUCAAGAAACUCGACCAAGCGACUGGAGUGCGUCCAUACACAGGGAACGUUGGAGCAGAUGAUGUUGAUGGUGUAGACAUGGCUUACAGGGUAGUGGCUGAUCAUAUUCGCACAUUGACCAUAGCUCUCUUGGACGGAAGCUGGCCAGAUAAUGUUGGAAGAGGAGCGUAUCAAGCACUCAACUUCAAGCAUGAAAAUCUGUCGCUGAUUCAACCCCGAUUCGUGGCGCCCCUGCCUCCUCUUCAACCAGCGGUACUGAAGAUCAUCUGGAGUAUUAUGUUCAUGAGUGUGGAGACAUCUUAAACCAUCAGCAUGAAGCUACCGGCAGACUCAACCGACGCUAAACACAUUAUGGAGCAUGUCUUUGCACAGGUGUCGGAAUUCAAGAAACUCGACCAAGCGACUGGAGUGCGUCCAUACACAGGGAACGUUGGAGCAGAUGAUGUUGAUGGUGUAGACAUGGCUUACAGGGUAGUGGCUGAUCAUAUUCGCACAUUGACCAUAGCUCUCUUGGACGGAAGCUGGCCAGAUAAUGUUGGAAGAGGAGCGUAUCAAGCACUCAACUUCAAGCAUGAAAUCUGUCGCUGAUUCAACCCCGAUUCGUGGCGCCCCUGCCUCUUCAACCAGCGGUACUGAAGAUCAUCUGGAGUAUCAUGUUCAUGAGUGUGGAGACAUCUUAAACCAUCAGCAUGAAGCUACCGGCAGACUCAACCGACGCUAAACACAUUAUGGAGCAUGUCUUUGCACAGGUGUCGGAAUUCAAGAAACUCAACCAAGCGACUGGAGUGCGUCCAUACACAGGGAACGUUGGAGCAGAUGAUGUUGAUGGUGUAGACAUGGCUUACAGGGUAGUGGCUGAUCAUAUUCGCACAUUGACCAUAGCUCUCUUGGACGGAGCUGGCCAGAUAAUGUUGGAAGAGGAGCGUAUCAAGCACUCAACUUCAAGCAUGAAAAUCUGUCGCUGAUUCAACCCCGAUUCGUGGCGCCCCUGCCUCUUCAACCAGCGGUACUGAAGAUCAUCUGGAGUAUCAUGUUCAUGAGUGUGGAGACAUCUUAAACCAUCAGCAUGAAGCUACCGGCAGACUCAACCGACGCUAAACACAUUAUGGAGCAUGUCUUUGCACAGGUGUCGGAAUUCAAGAAACUCAACCAAGCGACUGGAGUGCGUCCAUACACAGGGAACGUUGGAGCAGAUGAUGUUGAUGGUGUAGACAUGGCUUACAGGGUAGUGGCUGAUCAUAUUCGCACAUUGACCAUAGCUCUCUUGGACGGAGCUGGCCAGAUAAUGUUGGAAGAGGAGCGUAUCAAGCACUCAACUUCAAGCAUGAAAAUCUGUCGCUGAUUCAACCCCGAUUCGUGGCGCCCCUGCCUCUUCAACCAGCGGUAAGUCUACAUCACCACCAUAAUUUAAAACCAGUCAUCAUGUGGUUUUAGCUGAUGAUGAGAGUGACAUGGUUUUAGGUGAUGUUGAUGGGGAUGUGGUUUUAGCUGAUGAUGAG